RNAcentral lists this ribosomal RNA (492 nucleotides) under uncultured bacterium. Its description in RNAcentral is "partial 16S ribosomal RNA". It matches the Rfam family "Bacterial small subunit ribosomal RNA", at positions 29 to 507 of the family's 1533-position model. The record is from RNAcentral.
AUUGAACGCUGGCGGCAUGCUUUACACAUGCAAGUCGAACGGUAACAGGCCUUCGGGUGCUGACGAGUGGCGAACGGGUGAGUAAUGCAUCGGAACGUACCCAGAGGUGGGGGAUAACGCAGCGAAAGCUGUGCUAAUACCGCAUGUGAUCUGAGGAUGAAAGCGGGGGACCGAGCAGCAAUGUUUGGCCUCGCGCCUUUGGAGCGGCCGAUGUCGGAUUAGCUAGUUGGUGGGGUAAAGGCCUACCAAGGCGACAAUCCGUAGCUGGUCUGAGAGGACGACCAGCCACACUGGGACUGAGACACGGCCCAGACUCCUACGGGAGGCAGCAGUGGGGAAUUUUGGACAAUGGGCGCAAGCCUGAUCCAGCAAUGCCGCGUGCGGGAAGAAGGCCUUCGGGUUGUAAACCGCUUUUGGCAGGAACGAAACGGUGUCCGCUAAUACCGGGCGCUAAUGACGGUACCUGCAGAAUAAGCACCGGCUAACUACGUG